GCAAGUCGAACGAAGUAGCAAUACUUAGUGGCAGACGGGUGAGUAACAUGUAGGUAUCUGCCCUUUGGCCUGGAAUAACACGAGGAAACUUGUGCUAAUACCGGAUAAGUCUUUACGGAGAAAGCUUUAUGCACCAUUGGAUGAGCCUGCACUUGAUUAGUUAGUUGGUGGGGUAAUAACCUACCAAGACGAUGAUGCAUAGCCGACCUGAGAGGGUGAUC
RNAcentral lists this ribosomal RNA (221 nucleotides) under uncultured bacterium. Its description in RNAcentral is "partial 16S ribosomal RNA". It matches the Rfam family "Bacterial small subunit ribosomal RNA", at positions 57 to 305 of the family's 1533-position model. The record is from RNAcentral.